Molecule: small nuclear RNA, 161 nt
Filed under: Helianthus annuus (common sunflower)
Lineage: Eukaryota; Viridiplantae; Streptophyta; Magnoliopsida; Asterales; Asteraceae
Description: U1 spliceosomal RNA
Rfam family: U1 spliceosomal RNA
About the family: U1 is a small nuclear RNA (snRNA) component of the spliceosome (involved in pre-mRNA splicing). Its 5' end forms complementary base pairs with the 5' splice junction, thus defining the 5' donor site of an intron.
Source: RNAcentral
UUACUUACCUGGACGGGGUCAAUGGAUGAUCAAGAAGGUCCAUGGCCUAGGUUGGUGACCUCCAUUGCACCCAGGAGGGGUGCCCGCCUAAGGUCGGCCCAAGUGGUCGAGCCUACGUCAUAAUUUGUGGCAGUGGAGGCCUGCGUUCGCGCGGCCUCUGC